UUAGAGUUUGAUCCUGGGUCAGAACGAACGCUGGCGGCAGGCUUAACACAUGCAAGUCGAGCGCCCCGCAAGGGGAGCGGCAGACGGGUGAGUAACGCGUGGGAAUCUACCCAUCUCUACGGAAUAACGCAUGGAAGCGUGUGCUAAUACCGUAUACGUCCUUCGGGAGAAAGAUUUAUCGGAGAUGGAUGAGCCCGCGUUGGAUUAGCUAGUUGGUGGGGUAAAGGCCUACCAAGGCGACGAUCCAUAGCUGGUCUGAGAGGAUGAUCAGCCACACUGGGACUGAGACACGGCCCAGACUCCUACGGGAGGCAGCAGUGGGGAAUAUUGGACAAUGGGCGCAAGCCUGAUCCAGCCAUGCCGCGUGAGUGAUGAAGGCCCUAGGGUUGUAAAGCUCUUUCACCGGUGAAGAUAAUGACGGUAACCGGAGAAGAAGCCCCGGCUAACUUCGUGCCAGCAGCCGCGGUAAU
RNAcentral lists this ribosomal RNA (470 nucleotides) under uncultured Phyllobacterium sp. RNAcentral's name for it is "bacterial SSU rRNA". It matches the Rfam family "Bacterial small subunit ribosomal RNA", at positions 1 to 524 of the family's 1533-position model. Lineage: Bacteria; Pseudomonadati; Pseudomonadota; Alphaproteobacteria; Hyphomicrobiales; Phyllobacteriaceae. The record is from RNAcentral.